GACGAACGCUGGCGGCGUGCUUAACACAUGCAAGUCGAACGGAAAGGCCCCUUUGGGGGUACUCGAGUGGCGAACGGGUGAGUAACACGUGAGUAACCUGCCCUUGACUUCUGGAUAACUUCAGGAAACUGGGGCUAAUACCGGAUAGGAAUCCUUGCUGCAUGGUGGGGGUUGGAAAGCUUCGGCGGUUUUGGAUGGACUCGCGGCUUAUCAGCUUGUUGGUGGGGUAGUGGCUUACCAAGGCUUUGACGGGUAGCCGGCCUGAGAGGGCGACCGGCCACAUUGGGACUGAGAUACGGCCCAGACUCCUACGGGAGGCAGCAGUGGGGAAUAUUGCACAAUGGGCGGAAGCCGGAUGCAGCAACGACGCGUGCGGGAUGACGGCCUUCGGGUUGUAAACCGCUUUCAGCAGGGGCGAAGCUUGUGGUGACGGUACCUGCAGAAGAAGCACCGGCUAACUACGUG
This 465-nucleotide ribosomal RNA is filed under the name uncultured bacterium. RNAcentral's name for it is "partial 16S ribosomal RNA". It matches the Rfam family "Bacterial small subunit ribosomal RNA", at positions 28 to 507 of the family's 1533-position model. The record is from RNAcentral.